Molecule: ribosomal RNA, 442 nt
Filed under: uncultured bacterium
Lineage: Bacteria
Description: partial 16S ribosomal RNA
Rfam family: Bacterial small subunit ribosomal RNA
Source: RNAcentral
CCUACGGGUGGCAGCAGUGGGGAAUAUUGGGCAAUGGGCGCAAGCCUGACCCAGCAACGCCGCGUGAAGGAAGAAGGCUUUCGGGUUGUAAACUUCUUUUCUGGGGGACGAACAAAUGACGGUACCCCAGGAAUAAGCCACGGCUAACUACGUGCCAGCAGCCGCGGUAAUACGUAGGUGUCAAGUGUUAUCCGGAUUUAUUGGGUGUAAAGGGCGUGUAGGCGGGAAUGCAAGUCAGAUGGGAAAACUAAGGGAUCAACCCUGAGCCUGCAUUUGAAACUGUGAUUCUUGAGGGCAGGAGAGGCAAGCGGAAUUCGGGGUGUAGCGGUGAAAUGCGUAGAUAUACGGAGGAACACCAGUGGCGAAGGCGGAUUGCUGGACAGUAACUGACGCUGAGGCGCGAAAGCGUGGGGAGCAAACAGGAUUAGAUACCCCUGUAGUC